GCUGAACUUUAAAUCUCAGUACAUUUAAUUUAGUAUUUGUGGUUAUUGAAAGGAUAUUAUCUAGUACAGAGACAAUAGGUAGUUAUACUAAAUGAUACACGACUUAUAUCAUACACCACAUACAUGUACAUAGUUGUUAAACUGUUUAAUUCGAUUACAUACACUGGUACCGGUGAUUCUUCUAAUCGAAUAUUUAAAGUACAACUACAGAACUUUGUGCAAUUUUAUUUUAUUUUCAACUUCUUUAAAUUAAAUUUCGUAUCGAACUAUCACAGAAAUUAUUUGUAAAAGUGUUAGCAAAGGUAGGGCUGUAUCAUGUGCUAUAUAUUUUUAUACAUUAGCUGUACAGUUUGGGGUGUCCAGUCAAGUCUGACAUAUGACUAAUUGUUACCUGAGCGUCACUGAUGAGUCUUGUGUAGAUAUUUAUUUGUUUAUUAUUCAACACUUUUCAAAUAGAGAAAGGGCGGGAACGGUAUUUGAUAAUCUACACACGGUCUGGUAUCUAUCAAGAGGUAGGGGUAUACUUAGACUACAUGCUUUAAGAUCAGUUCAGCAUGUUAUUAAUUGUAGUAUUUUUUAGAAACACGGAAGCCCUCCCCUUAUACUUCCGUACAAAUCCAUUAUCACAUUAAUGUAUAAAGAAGGUAUUAGUAGGCUACUUGUUUGGUCAUCUCUGUUGGAAAAAACAAGAAUCUGCCAAAUAAAAACUUCAGAAAUCUAUAGGACUUAAAAAGUCAGUAUUUAUAAAUUUAGAUGCAAUUUUUGGAGCCCUUUAUAUAUUGCUGUUCGGUAUGAACCAAUGCACCGUACUGAAGACUGUAUUUUGACUUAUAGAGGUUUACCUUUACAAAUUGUGACUUGAAUGAGAAUGGUCUCAUUGGCUUCACACCACCUCUUCUUGGAGGACGCCAUAUCACAUAACAUGUGACAUUUGUUCACAGUAUGUCCAUCUUGUAUACCCGGUUAUAAAAUCAUAAAUACCUAACAUAAUUUUUAAUUUCUAUAUGUAAAUUGUACUAUUUUUGAAAUUUCAUGGGCCAAAUGAUAACUCUUCCUUUAAAAGGGAACAAACUUGGAUUAAACCUAAUUAAUAAGUAUCCCUGAAUCUUCCUUGUUCAACCCUACUUUUUUCUAGGGACCACUGCAAUUAUGUUUUACAUCGGUAGCAGUCUUUUUAUACGCCUGUUUACGGAACGUAUUAUGGUGUAUAAACAGUAGUAUUCUUUUGUCCGUCCGCCCGUCCGUCCAUAUUCAACAUGUCGGACAAUAACUCAGAAAUGCUUUAACCAGUUUGCAUGAGUUUGGUGAAUUGUUCAAAUCCAUUGAUAUGAGCUCCCUUUCGAUUUUUAUGACUUUAGAAUUCACGAGUUGUAGACUGAUCCCUACAAACGAUAAUAUACGAAACACUCAUAUAUUUUUUAAAAAGGUUAUAAAUAAAGUCGACGUCUCCCAUUUGAAUGCGACAUGUACCUGGUUGUUUUAUGCGUCAGUCAUUUCAAUUGAAUAUUAUGUUUUACCUAUUUUUGAUAUUUGUACGGUCCAUUUAAAGUAUUUUAAAUAUUUUUAAAUUAAAUCAAUUGAAUAGAACUCUCCAUUUGUGAUUUAAGUGUGUAAAGUAUACAUUUCAAUGUUUAUUGAAAGUUACUAUUCAUCAAAAUCUGCUCUUUCCGAAUUUUACACGAGACAGUAGACUAUUUCCGAACUAAAUAAUAAUGUACAUUUCUAUCUUGUCUCAUCUAAAUCAAAAUGCAUGAAUAAUUAUGUGUAUCGUCUGGAGCAUAAUGCCUUUUUAAAGUUAUUCCAAGUAAGCUUCGUUCACAUUUUCCUGGUACGAAAUUAAUACCUAGAAGGUAUUAAAAACAUGAUGUCUUUGUACAAUCAUUUACAAAGAUGUAAAUCUUUCAAAUGAAUUAGAUCACUUUUCCACGAAAUCACGUGAUAAAACUAUUUUCCUCCAACAUAUAAACAAUUUCUGUUCUAUAUAGAACAUCAUAAUUUUCAGAAAGCAUUGAAAGCAGACACAACAUUCCUGUUGGUAAUUAUAUUUUAAUACAUUUUUUUUUAAUUCAAGUGGUAAAUAUGUUUCUUGCAUUUAUGUAAAAUAAUGAAAGUAAUUUGAAAUGACUGUUAAAGUAUAAUCCUGCUUUAGUAAGGUUCGACACUCGAUACCUAUUCAUCAUUGAUCUUUUUUGAAGGUGGAAAAAGGGUUGGAGGGCUGGAAGCGUUUCUGUUGAAGGCAAUCUAAAACCAUGCUUGGGAAUUAAAACAUUUUCAAAAAAUGCAUCAUACUCAUUCAAUAUUUUUCUGAUGAAUAUUUUCUUAUUUAAAUGUUGUUUAAAUUAAUUCUUGGUAUAAACUCACCAAAUUGUGGCUUGAUAAGCUAGGUAAUAUAAAGGCAUUUCGUGUGUUUUCAUUUUCUUAUGUUUAUAUCACAGACAUAAAAAUGAUAUGGCAUGAUUUGCAAUGAGACAACUAUAUCGAUCUAAGUUCAAACAAAUUGAAUGUAAACAAUAUUAAGCAUUCAACUGUUUCAAGUAAUAAUUACAUCCCAGCUCUUUUGUUCUAACUGGGGUGAUCUGAGCCGGAUCACCCCUACCAGAUCACCCCAGUUUAAGUUUUUUGUUAUGCAUGCUUUCCUUUGUUCUGUAACAUUUUGGCGGGAAUGACAAAUCCAGUAUAAAAAAAAAAGAAAAACAAAAAAAAAAAAAAAAAAAAAAAAAAAAAAAAAAAAAAAAAAAAAAAAAAAAAAAAAAAAAAAAAAAAAAAAAAAAAAAAAAAAAAAAAAAAAAAAAAAAAAAAAAAAAAAAAAAAAAAAAAAAAAAAAAAAAAAAAAAAAAAAUUUAUAAUUAAUUAUACGGAGAAGACUAUCUAUCAAAAUCCACGUAGAAAAAAUCCAGUGUAUAUGCUGGGGUUCGAACUCAAGACCUUUAGCAUAUCAAGCCACGACACAUACCACUACACCAGGACGACUGGAUACGAACUAUUAGAAAUUUAACAUACUUAAAGGAAGCAAGAUAUUUUUUAUAACUGGGGCGAGUUGGCAGACCUUUACUCAGUGGGGUUUAAACCCUUUUCGUUAAAUAAAUGAGUUGUAAGACUGAUUGUUCAAUUUGAUUUUACACUUUUUUAAAGUUGGGCGAGUCGGUUACAAGAGUGGGGCGAUUUUUUCAUAAAGUGGCGAUAUAGUGUGGGCCGAUUGGCCAGUGGGGCGAGUUGACAUUAUUUGAUAUCUACUCAUCGUGUUUGGGGGUCAUAAAGGGUAUACAUCAUAUAGUAAUAUCUAAAGUAUAUUAUAAUGGUUGUGUGGCGUUCUAAACUAGAUUUUAUGAAUUGUAAAUGGUUUUUCGUCUAUUCUUAAUCAGCUGGGAUGUAAAAUAGUUAUCCCAUUCGGACUUGGUGUGUCAGUGUAAGAUCACCCUCUGGCCUCCGGCCAUCGGGAUGAUCUUACACUGACACACCGCGUCCUUAUGGGAUAACUAUUAAAGGUAGUCUAAGAUAAACCUACAAAGAUUCUUAAUCAACUUUUCCCCUUAAUUGUUCGUCAAUAUUUGUUUUCAGUAAAAAAAUAAUCCCAAUAUGAAACGGCAAUCUUAUGGGUGGCCAGAUGACGAUGAUGAUGAUGACGAUGCUGAUUGUUGUAUACAAUGACACUUCCGGGUAAGUUAAUUUACACAUCUUCAAGAUAGUUAUUACUAAAUUCUAAACACUUUACAGGGACAGAUACAGCCAUUUAAAAAAAGGGGGGGGGGGAUUCAAACAUUAGUCCCGAUACAAAUGUAUUGAUCGACAUUGGAUCCGCCACUGCCUUAUAUCUACUUUCUUUAUGACAUAAAAAAUUGAGCGUUUUUUUUUGUUUAUCUCAAAAAGGUUCGAAAACCUGGUUGCAAGUUAAAGAACUUUGUAUGAUAAUUGUAGUGAAAACUUGAUACGUGCGUGAAGAACACAGAGUCAUCCUGAUAUUAACAUAUAAUAAUACUUAGUGGUUUGAUAAUUUAACUCUAUACCAUUUUCGAUUUUUAAAUUCCAUGGCUUUCAUAUAAUUGGUUUUAAGUGUUCCAGAUGAAAGCAAAUAAAAAAUAACCUUCGGAGUUCGUAGCUUUUGAUUUUGAUUGCCAAUGAGACGAAAGACAUGAUCGAAUUGACGAUGAAUAAAAGUAUCGAUUAAUAUCAUUGAAUAUUAACAAGUACAAUUUAGGUGUACAUUGAGAAGACAAAUGCACAAAAUGUGUUAUUUUAAGUAUGUUUUCAGCUUUUCAAUGAAUUUGUUACAGUGGCUUUUUACUAUAUAUUUUUUUUAGAUUUGAUAUGUUUCAACAGCAUAAGAAGAUGUCCAGCUGAAGUAUAUUUUUGAAACAUUUCAGAACAUAUACUUACAUUAUGUGAAACAUCUUAUGAUAACAAAAUUGUUCAAAAUGCAG
This 4418-nucleotide long non-coding RNA is filed under the name Mytilus galloprovincialis (Mediterranean mussel). Lineage: Eukaryota; Metazoa; Mollusca; Bivalvia; Mytilida; Mytilidae. The record is from RNAcentral.